RNAcentral lists this transfer RNA (59 nucleotides) under Parhyale hawaiensis. RNAcentral describes it as "tRNA-Tyr". Lineage: Eukaryota; Metazoa; Arthropoda; Malacostraca; Amphipoda; Hyalidae. The record is from RNAcentral.
GUUUAAGUGGUGUAAUAAACACGAUAAGUUGUAAACUUAUAGAUAUUAUAAUCUAAACU